CGAAAUAAGCAGUCGCUCCCCCAGCAGCUCCUGUAAGCUGGAGCCUACCGGUGCCUCAGCCGACAGGGGCCAGAGCAGAGGGCUUUCAAUACAAGUGACCAUCCCCCCCGCACACGCGCACAUACUCAAAAC
This 132-nucleotide long non-coding RNA is filed under the name Dasypus novemcinctus (nine-banded armadillo). RNAcentral's name for it is "lncRNA (ENSDNOG00000051145.1)". The record is from RNAcentral. Lineage: Eukaryota; Metazoa; Chordata; Mammalia; Cingulata; Dasypodidae.